This is a non-coding RNA of Heterocephalus glaber (naked mole-rat), 3177 nucleotides long. The record is from RefSeq and is a predicted model, not a curated record. NCBI's taxonomy places the organism in Eukaryota, Metazoa, Chordata, Mammalia, Rodentia, Bathyergidae.
CGGGGGGGGGGGGGCUGAGCCUGAGCCUGAGCCGGGGGAUCGCACUGCCCGCCCCGCCUCCUGGGGCGCCCAGGUCACCUCUGCACCCACGCAGCAAGAGCCUGCGCCCCCAGAGGUGAACCGCGCCUGACAGGGAGGCCCGUGUCUGGACACUGAAGACCCAGUCCGGAGCACGCUCUGCCUCCCUGGUUCCCGGGCAGCAGUCCCGAGAGCUGGACGCCCCACCCGCACCCUAAACGGCUGGGGCUCGGAGGAGGGGCAGGGAGGUUGGAGAGCUGGGGCCGCAGCCUGGGCUGCUCUGCAAAGUGAAGGCCCCCCCCACUUCAGGCAGGGUCUUGCUAUGUAGCCCAGGCUGGCCUUGAACUCAUACCGAUCCGUCUCCCUCAGUCUCCCAAGUGCUGGGAUCGUAGGUAUGCAGCGCUGCAUCCUGCCCACAUUUAUCCUUAGCCCUCCUAGCUCCAGGCGGGGAACAACCUCACAUUGCCAUCUCCCUGCUCGUCUUAUUCCUUUUGUUUCUGAAAACACUGUCCAGGUUGUCAAAAGGGACUCGCCAUCUCCUGUAGGCUCAGCGGGGCAGGGCCGGGGCUCCAGGCUCCCUGCCCUGCUCUAGGAAGGGCAGAAAGCAGAAGGACACACACGGCAUCUCCAGAGGCUGGAGCUCCUGGGCCUUCACGUCGUGCAGGAGAGAGAAGAAAAGAGGGAGCAAGGCCCAGCAGGGACAGAGUAAAAGACCUUGGGAAGACACUGCAAUAGCAGACCCACUGCCAAGUCCUGCCUCUCCAGCCAGAGGCAGCAGGCGGGGUGCGGAUCAGCUGCACUACUGAGUCAAAAGCAGAGGCCAGACAUGGUGGCCCACACCUGUGAUCCCAGGACUGGGAAGGCUGAGGCAGGAGAAUCGCUGUGAGUUCAGGGUCAGCCUGGGCUACAUAGUGAGACCCUGUCUCAAAAUUAAAAUAAUUUUAAAAAGCAACAGAGCACCAGAAGUCUCAAGAAGACAUAGAUGGGGGUUCAGGGCAGAGACCAGGGGCUCGAGGUCACAGAGGGCCAUGAGGAGUGCCUUUGCUCUUGGAGCAACCCCAGCACUCCAAAGCCAAACCCCAAAUCCCAGGGUGAACUAAAAGACAGGACAGGAACUCCGAGGGGGGUGUCUCUCUGGCCCCCAACCCUUGCCAUGUUCAGUCUUUUAACAUAAUUAUGCUUCUAACUCUAUGGGGUGGGGCAGAUCCCAGCCUGAGCCCUUGCUGUAAACCCCACCUGUCUGCCAGCCCUGCUGUGAUUCCAACCACCCACUCCUGGGUCUGUUUCUUUUCUUCCCCCCCGACUCUGGGGAUCGAACUCACGACCUUGAGCUUUCGAGGCAAGCGCGGCACCACUGAACAUCCCCGUUUCUGAUCGGAGGCAUCACGGACUUAGCUAACUCCUAAGUACCAGGAGGUACAGCACCGGCAGCGUGACGUAGGCCAGCAGCUCCCACAGCUUCCCCGUCAGCAGCAUCCACAGCACGCGGUCCUCUGCCUCCAGAUCCACCCAGCACCAGCCCACCGACACAUCGGAGGCGUCGUAGCCGAUCUUCUUGAGGGCAACAGCCACCACGGUGAUGGUCAUCGGUAUGCCCCAGCUGAGGAGCGACAGGAAGAGGGACGUGCUGAGGUUGGGCCAUUGCGUGAAUUGAGGGGUGUGCUGAGCCCAGCUGGGAGGACGGGGUGGGGGGGGUCGGGUGUUUUCAGCUAAGGCGCUGCUCAGGGGUGUGGCGUAGUCAACUGAGCUGAGGGGGGCCCUCGGGCCACCUUGCUAUCUGGGGACCAGAAGCUGCUGAGGAGGAGAGAGGUAGCAGCAGCGAGGGAGGAGGAGGAAGAUCCAGCAACCUUGCAGAGCAGGCUGGACCGGAGUCACCUGCUUGUGGACAUAGACAGGGAUGACUGGUCAUGUUUCACACCUGGCUAAUCAGAGAAAAUGAGUGUAUGUGUGUUUGCAUGCAUGUACAUGCACUCUAAAGUUUUAAAAGCAUUUAUUUAUUUAUUUAUCAAUUUGAGGUUCUUGCGAUGUAGCCUAGCCUGGCCUUGAACUCAUGGCGAUCCUCCUGCCUCAGCCUCCCAAGUGCUGGGAUUACAGUCCUGUGCCACCACGCUCGGCAUAUACUACAGACUUAUCCUGCAUUUCACUGAUAUCAAGGAUGGGAAGCACACGUCUCUAAGCAACAACAAACUACAGAGCUCUGGCUGGUCCUCAGGAUGCCGCUCAUUUGUGCUGGACCCUGGUGUCCACAGGGACCUGUGGUUGAGCUCAGCAGAGGCCAGCAAUCCCGUUCCUCGGCUGGUCCAGCUUCCUCUCUCCUUAACGCAGGGAUGGAACGGAAAUGCAGGAAACCCGGAAUCAGACACAUGCUGGACACCACCUGGGCCACCGGGCAGCUGUUUUGCUUAGUUGGGGAUGAGUUUCCAUGCUGGGAAAACACUUCCUCUCCCCUGCCCCUCUCUAUUUUUAGGGGUCUCUGGGAAAUAAACCCAAGGCCUCGUAUAUCCCAGGCAGCUCUACUGCUGAGUUGUAUCCUCAGCCCUUUAAUUUUACUUGGAGACAGGGUCUGCUGAGUAGCUUAGACUGGGCUCAAAUUUUCCAUCCUCCUGCCCCAGCCUCCUGAGCAGCUGAGAUUACAGACCAAGAAAUACCAAGCAUGGUGUGCUCGGCUCACCAUCAUUUUAUUUAUUUUAUUUUAUAAUACUUAGACUAGAGUACGGGUUCAGCAAACUGUAGCCCUCAGGCCAAAUCAAGCCCAAGGUCUGUUUUUUGUUGUUGCUGUUUUGUUUUUAAUUAAUUUUUCUUUUUGGUACCAUAGAUUGAACUCGGGACCUUGUGCUUGCAAUGCAGGUGGCGGCACCACUGAGCUAAAUCCCUGGCCCCAUAAUUAAUUAUUAUUUUCUGGUUUUGGUUUUUUCGUUUGAGACAAGAGUCGCACUCUGAAGAACACUACAGAGGGUCUCCCUGCAUACUCCAGGCUGGACUUGAACUCACUGUACGGCCCAGGCUGGCCUCAAAUUCGAAGGAACCCAUGUGCUCCAGCCUCCCAAGUUCUGGGAUCACAGGCGUGCACCAUCAGGCCCUCCCACGGCAGAUGUUUUACAAUAAAGUUUUAUUGCCACCCAGCUACCGCUCUCAUUGCCCAAGGCUGUUGCAGUGGAG